This 1163-nucleotide long non-coding RNA is filed under the name Homo sapiens (human). RNAcentral describes it as "HSALNT0022247". Lineage: Eukaryota; Metazoa; Chordata; Mammalia; Primates; Hominidae. The record is from RNAcentral.
CACUUGGCAGUUUUAUUUAUAAAAGUAAAUUAACAAAUUGGCAUUCUGAUUUAGAUAUAGCUCUCUUCGGAGUUUGUUUAGCUGGUUAAGCUCCCCUGAGCCUGAACAACCCUGGGCUUGCUAAUAAAUCAAGUCUAAGGAUCUCCAAAGCAGAGGAUCACACCCUGGGAUUCAGUGUCCACAGCAAAGAACUGAGGUCCUUUGCAGUAUGCAGUCCUAAGUUAGUGUCAAGCUCAUCCCCUUCUCUGAUAUUUUAAAAUUCACUUUCUGACUUCAACACACUACUUCUGUUACAUAUCACUGUAUGAAAAUAAAAUGAUGUCUCUGUGGCAUUAGUUACCUUUGGCUGCAUAACAACUUACCCCCAAACUUAAAACAACCCACAUGUAUUGUCUCACAGUUUCCGUGGGUCAAGAGUCUGGGCAGGCUUAGCAAGUUCCUGCACUUCAGGGUCUCUUACAGACUUGCAGUCAAGGUGUCAGCUGCGAUGUAGUGAUCUUAAGGUUCAACUGGGCAAGGAUCUAUUUCCAGGCUCACAUGGUGGUUGGCAAGAUUGAGAUCCCUGUGGACUGUUGGACUGAGGGUCUCAGUUUCUUGCUGGCUGUUGGCUGGAGGCCUGCUUCAGUUUCAUGCCACAUAGGCAGCUCCAACAUGGCAAAUUGCAUCAUCAAAGCCAGCAAGGCAGAGAGUCUGUUAGCAAGAGGAGAUUGCAACCUUUUGGCACUUAAUCAGUGAAGUGACAUCCCAUCAUCCAUCUUUGCCACAAUCUGUUGGUAGAAGAGAGUCACCAGACAAACCCACAUUCAAGAGAAUGGGAUUAUACAAAGGUACAUAUACCACGAGGCAGGAUCAUUGGGGACCAUCUGAGAGGCUAUCCACACCACUGUGUAUCAUCAUAAUGGAGACUGUGGCUCAUUGAGGAUACAAGCUAAGCUGCUUGGAUAUAGAAGUCCAAAAGCAGUGGCUUAAAUGGGAUAGAAGUUUCGUUGUCUCUCUUUAAUAACAGGCCAGAGAUCUGCAAACAGUGCAGUGUGGAGGGGUAGCUGUAGUUCCUUUUAUCCUGUGGCUUAUCCCUUCCUCAGAAUGCUGUUUAAAUCCCCAUGAAGCAAACUGAUUUACCAUCUCAUUUUCAUUCUACUACCGGCCAGGCGCAGUAGCUCACG